CCCGCUGAACUUAAGCAUAUCAAUAAGCGGAGGAAAAGAAACUAACAAGGAUUCCCCUAGUAACGGCGAGUGAAGCGGGAACAGCUCAAGCCCUUAAUCAGUGUUGGUACACCGACAUUGAAUUGUAGCUUGAAGGUUAACACUUUGGCAACAUAGCAGACAUAAGUCUUUUGAAUAGGACGCCAGAGAGGGUGCAAGCCCCGUCUUUUGUCAGCAUCAUGUUUGUCAGUGCAAGUGUUUUCCAGCGAGUCGGGUUGUUUGGGAAUGCAGCCCUAACUGGGUGGUAAAUUUCAUCCAAAGCUAAAUAUCAGCCAGAGACCGAUAGCGAACAAGUACCGUGAGGGAAAGAUGAAAAGCACUCUGGAGAGAGAGUGAAAUAGUACGUGAAAUCGCUGCAAGGGAACUGCUUGCUCACCUCAAGUCAUAUCUUUUUAGGUUGUGACGGCUAGCACCAGUUUGAACUCUCGGACAGCCUUGAACGGAAGGUAGGUAGGGUCUUUGAUCCUGCUGUUAUAGCCGUUCUAAUGGGUUUACGUGGGGUUUGGACUGAGGCAUACCAGCAGUACGUGCUCUCCUCGGGGGGCGGCCUGCCAUGCCUGCUCAUUGUAGACACUCCUUAGACAACAUGUUGACUAAGGGUGAAAUCUCUAACGGUGACUCGGGUGUGUGCGGGACUAACUAGUACUAAAGGUGCUGGCUUAAGGGUAGUAAGCAACCCGUCUUGAAACACGG
This 732-nucleotide ribosomal RNA is filed under the name uncultured fungus. RNAcentral describes it as "eukaryotic LSU rRNA". It matches the Rfam family "Eukaryotic large subunit ribosomal RNA", at positions 24 to 664 of the family's 3401-position model. Lineage: Eukaryota; Fungi. The record is from RNAcentral.